RNAcentral lists this long non-coding RNA (457 nucleotides) under Felis catus (domestic cat). Its description in RNAcentral is "lncRNA (ENSFCAG00000051114.1)". The record is from RNAcentral. Lineage: Eukaryota; Metazoa; Chordata; Mammalia; Carnivora; Felidae.
ACUACAGACUCCUAGAGAGACAGGUCAAUCCAAGUUUCUGCAGCCUCUGUGGAGGGGAACAUGCCGGCUGACAGCCUCUACUAACAGGUUGGGGCUCCCUCCUGCUGCUCCUGCCCUCCCAGCCACCAGCUCAUUGGAGCAAGACCAGGUACUGACCAUGGGCAAUUACUCUGUUUUGAGGGGGCAUGGUGCAAAAUCUUUGCUCAUGCAGAGAAGCUGGAUCAAUCAUGAUCUCAUUAUUGGAUUUGAGUUGAGGUAUAAGUAGAACGUUCAACUGUUCACAGUGAAUUCACGGCUUAAAGAUGCAUGAAGGAGAGCCAUGAGGGAGAGUAAUUGCCUUGAAAAGUCAAAAAUAGGUCAGUUAACAUUAUUGGGAAGCAGGAUGUGUAAGAAAGGCUAUCAGGUUGAUAUAAAUACGUAGAAUAAAGAGUUAUGUUUUAGGGUAAAGACCGGAGAU